GGUGGCUCAGUGGUACAGCACUUGCCUUGCAUGCCUGAGGCCCUGGGUUCGAUUCUCAGCACCA
Molecule: transfer RNA, 64 nt
Filed under: Dipodomys ordii (Ord's kangaroo rat)
Lineage: Eukaryota; Metazoa; Chordata; Mammalia; Rodentia; Heteromyidae
Rfam family: tRNA
About the family: Transfer RNA (tRNA) molecules are approximately 80 nucleotides in length. Their secondary structure includes four short double-helical elements and three loops (D, anti-codon, and T loops).
Source: Rfam by way of RNAcentral